CCUACGGGAGGCAGCAGUGGGGAAUAUUGGACAAUGGGGGGAACCCUGAUCCAGCGACGCCGCGUGAGUGAAGAAGUAUUUCGGUAUGUAAAGCUCUAUCAGCAGGGAAGAAAGAAAUGACGGUACCUUACUAAGAAGCCCCGGCUAACUACGUGCCAGCAGCCGCGGUAAUACGUAGGAGGCAAGCGUUAUCCGGAUUUACUGGGCGUAAAGGGAGCGUAGACGGCUAUGCAAGUCUGAAGCGAAAGGCGAAGGCUCAACCUCCGGACUACUUUGGAGACUGUAUGGCUUGAGUGCAGGAGGGGUAAGUGGAAUUCCUAGUGUAGCGGUGAAAUGCGUAGAUAUUAGGAGGAACACCAGUGGCGAAGGCGGCUUGCUGGACUGUAACUGACGUUGAGGCUCGAAAGCGUGGGGAGCAAACAGGAUUAGAUACCCGAGUAGUC
RNAcentral lists this ribosomal RNA (443 nucleotides) under uncultured bacterium. RNAcentral's name for it is "partial 16S ribosomal RNA". It matches the Rfam family "Bacterial small subunit ribosomal RNA", at positions 338 to 795 of the family's 1533-position model. The record is from RNAcentral.